RNAcentral lists this ribosomal RNA (409 nucleotides) under Patescibacteria group bacterium. Its description in RNAcentral is "partial 23S ribosomal RNA". It matches the Rfam family "Bacterial large subunit ribosomal RNA", at positions 2506 to 2925 of the family's 2925-position model. The record is from RNAcentral.
AGACGAUGCGGUUUGGCACCUCGAUGUCGGCUCAUCCUAUCCUGGGGCUGAAGCAGGUCCCAAGGGUCUGGCUGUUCGCCAGUUAAAAGGGUACGCGAGCUGGGUUCAGAACGUCGUGAGACAGUUUGGCCUCUAUCCUCCGUAAUCACUUAGAGAUGUGAAGGAAGCUGCUCCUAGUACGAGAGGACCGGAGUGGACGAACCUCUGGUGAACCUGUUGUCGUGUCAACGGCAACGCAGGAUAGCUAUGUUCGGAAGGGAUAACCGCUGAAGGCAUCUAAGCGGGAAGCCCCCCCUGAGAUUGCAUCUCUCCAUCAGUCCGCCGCAAGAUCAGCGGCUUGAUCGGCCACAGGUGUACGCACGGUAACGUGUUCAGCCGAGUGGUACGAAUGGACGAUUGAACGUUCUUU